RNAcentral lists this ribosomal RNA (468 nucleotides) under uncultured bacterium. RNAcentral's name for it is "partial 16S ribosomal RNA". It matches the Rfam family "Bacterial small subunit ribosomal RNA", at positions 28 to 507 of the family's 1533-position model. The record is from RNAcentral.
GACGAACGCUGGCGGCGUGCUUAACACAUGCAAGUCGAACGGAAAGGCCCUGCUUUUGUGGGGUGCUCGAGUGGCGAACGGGUGAGUAACACGUGAGUAACCUGCCCUUGACUUUGGGAUAACUUCAGGAAACUGGGGCUAAUACCGGAUAGGAGCUCCUGCUGCAUGGUGGGGGUUGGAAAGUUUCGGCGGUUGGGGAUGGACUCGCGGCUUAUCAGCUUGUUGGUGGGGUAGUGGCUUACCAAGGCAUUGACGGGUAGCCGGCCUGAGAGGGUGACCGGCCACAUUGGGACUGAGAUACGGCCCAGACUCCUACGGGAGGCAGCAGUGGGGAAUAUUGCACAAUGGGAGGAAGCCUGAUGCAGCAACGCCGCGUGCGGGAUGACGGCCUUCGGGUUGUAAACCGCUUUCGCCUGUGACGAAGCGUGAGUGACGGUAAUGGGUAAAGAAGCACCGGCUAACUACGUG